GCAGUAGCCGCGGGAAUACGGAGGAUCCAAGCGUUAUCCGGAAUCAUUGGGUUUAAAGGGUCCGUAGGCGGUCUUGUAAGUCAGUGGUGAAAGCCCAUCGCUCAACGGUGGAACGGCCAUUGAUACUGCAGGACUUGAAUUAUUGGGAAGUAACUAGAAUAUGUAGUGUAGCGGUGAAAUGCUUAGAGAUUACAUGGAAUACCAAUUGCGAAGGCAGGUUACUACCAAUUGAUUGACGCUGAUGGACGAAAGCGUGGGUAGCGAACAGGAUUAGAUACCCGUGUAGUCCCUGUCUCUUAUAA
RNAcentral lists this ribosomal RNA (302 nucleotides) under uncultured bacterium. Its description in RNAcentral is "partial 16S ribosomal RNA". It matches the Rfam family "Bacterial small subunit ribosomal RNA", at positions 508 to 809 of the family's 1533-position model. The record is from RNAcentral.